GGUGGGGUAAAAGCCUACCAAGGCCACGAUCAGUAGCCGACCUGAGAGGGUGAUCGGCCACAUUGGGACUGAGACACGGCCCAAACUCCUACGGGGGGCAGCAGUGGGGAAUAUUGCACAAUGGGCGAAAGCCUGAUGCAGCGACGCCGCGUGAACGAUGAAGGUCUUCGGAUCGUAAAGUUCUGUCGCAGGGGAAGAUAAUGACGGUACCUGAGGAGGAAGCCACGGCUAACUAC
Molecule: ribosomal RNA, 236 nt
Filed under: uncultured bacterium
Lineage: Bacteria
Description: partial 16S ribosomal RNA
Rfam family: Bacterial small subunit ribosomal RNA
Source: RNAcentral